AUAAGUGAUGACUUCAAAUCUUCACUUUGACCUGAUUGUCUAGUGGUGAAAGACUUAGUCUGAUU
This is a small nucleolar RNA of Trichomycterus rosablanca, 65 nucleotides long. RefSeq annotates it as small nucleolar RNA SNORD37. The transcript has a single exon. The record is from RefSeq and is a predicted model, not a curated record. NCBI's taxonomy places the organism in Eukaryota, Metazoa, Chordata, Actinopteri, Siluriformes, Trichomycteridae.